Molecule: ribosomal RNA, 250 nt
Filed under: uncultured bacterium
Lineage: Bacteria
Description: partial 16S ribosomal RNA
Rfam family: Bacterial small subunit ribosomal RNA
Source: RNAcentral
GAGUUUGAUCAUGGCUCAGGACGAACGCUGGCGGCGUGCCUAACACAUGCAAGUCGAGCGAGUGGAGUUCUUCGGAACAAAGCUAGCGGCGGACGGGUGAGUAACACGUGGGCAACCUGCCUCAUAGAGGGGGAAUAGCCUCCCGAAAGGGAGAUUAAUACCGCAUAAGAUUGUAGCUUCGCAUGAAGUAGCAAAUUAAAGGAGCAAUCCGCUAUGAGAUGGGCCCGCGGCGCAUUAGCUAGUGGUGGGU